RNAcentral lists this ribosomal RNA (550 nucleotides) under uncultured bacterium. RNAcentral's name for it is "bacterial SSU rRNA". It matches the Rfam family "Bacterial small subunit ribosomal RNA", at positions 355 to 896 of the family's 1533-position model. The record is from RNAcentral.
UAGGGAAUCUUCGGCAAUGGACGGAAGUCUGACCGAGCAACGCCGCGUGAGUGAAGAAGGUUUUCGGAUCGUAAAGCUCUGUUGUAAGAGAAGAACGAGUGUGAGAGUGGAAAGUUCACACUGUGACGGUAUCUUACCAGAAAGGGACGGCUAACUACGUGCCAGCAGCCGCGGUAAUACGUAGGUCCCGAGCGUUGUCCGGAUUUAUUGGGCGUAAAGCGAGCGCAGGCGGUUAGAUAAGUCUGAAGUUAAAGGCUGUGGCUUAACCAUAGUAGGCUUUGGAAACUGUUUAACUUGAGUGCAAGAGGGGAGAGUGGAAUUCCAUGUGUAGCGGUGAAAUGCGUAGAUAUAUGGAGGAACACCGGUGGCGAAAGCGGCUCUCUGGCUUGUAACUGACGCUGAGGCUCGAGAGCGUGGGGAGCAAACAGGAUUAGAUACCCUGGUAGUCCACGCUGUAAACGAUGAGUGCUAGGUGUUAGACCCUUUCCGGGGUUUAGUGCCGUAGCUAACGCGUUAAGCACUCCGCCUGGGGAGUACGACCGCAAGGUUG